UCCAAACUUAUUUUUCGGCCACUUCCUACCAGACUUGGAUUUCUGCAACGCUCAUCAUCUGCGAACGCUUUCUCACUGGAGUUUCGAUUCAGAUUCGGUCCUGGUCUAGGGCCGCGUUCGCUACGCGCCAGAGCUCUGAAGAUCCUGUCAGAGGCCGAUGUUAUCAUUGCCGUGCUCGGUAGCUAAGCGAUGCAGCGGGAAUCGUCGUGGGACGGUGGCCGAUCUGUUCAUGAGCUAGAGCCCCCAGGACCGUUGUUAUUCCUUCCACUGCUUUUACUUCAAGGAGGCGUAUGGAUCUUUCUAGGGUUGGUGAGAAAAUCUUCAGCUCGUCUGUUCUGCUCGCUCACUUGGCUUCCUCCCAUCUACGUCCGAUCGCCCUGAGAUGGCAGUGUCACGGCUGUGUUGCUAGAGAUAUCAAAAUGUGGGUGACUGAACUCGGUUCCUGAAAGGGUAGCUACAGCUGCUGCUGCAGCUCGAGCUCUUGUAGGGCUUCCCCCACAUGAAAGGAUUGCCCUCAGAUCAAAUUCUGAGGAUAUUACUUUCCUAUAUGGAAGGAAUGGUCAAACCCUUGAGGUGCUUGAAGAGGAGUUCUAUGAGGAGGAUUUUGAUCCCGUUAAGUAUAUUUUGGAGCACAUUCAAUCCGGAGAGAGUGACACUGUGUAUUUUGAGAAGAAGGCCACUCUUAGGUUAGCACAACUUGAUAAAAUAGCAGCACGCAAUGUUGUGGAGCACCAUGAAGAGUUGGGGAAUCUUUUCUACAAAGAGAGAUGUAUCAUUACUUCCUUUCUGGUAUCUAAAUUUCUGUCAUCGAGGUUUUCUCUAGGGAAAAAUUUGUUCCUUCUUUGACGUGAGAUAUAUGAGGUUACUCAUAUUUGAAGCUUUCCAGGAAAGUGCCUUACUUUUCAGAGCGAGCGAACAAGUUCUUUUGACAUUCCCCAUCACAUUUGCUGAUAUUAUUAUUUUUUUCAUUCAUAAUAAAUGGAUUUUUUUUUUAUCAUCACUUAAUUCGGAAAAUUCAAAAUUUUAUUCUAGAGACAUCUGUCACAAAAGAAAUUGGCUUACAAAGUUGAAAUGUACCUGUGACACAUGAGAUAUAAUCAUGAAUAGCUGUUCUAUUUAGAAAAGGGGACGAACAUGAGUUUAAGGGUAGAUUACUAGCAUAUAAUUUCAGG
Long non-coding RNA from Dendrobium catenatum, 1172 nucleotides. RefSeq lists it as uncharacterized. The record is from RefSeq and is a predicted model, not a curated record. NCBI's taxonomy places the organism in Eukaryota, Viridiplantae, Streptophyta, Magnoliopsida, Asparagales, Orchidaceae. The transcript is spliced from 6 exons.